Molecule: ribosomal RNA, 895 nt
Filed under: Salmonella enterica
Lineage: Bacteria; Pseudomonadati; Pseudomonadota; Gammaproteobacteria; Enterobacterales; Enterobacteriaceae
Description: bacterial SSU rRNA
Rfam family: Bacterial small subunit ribosomal RNA
Source: RNAcentral
UGUAGAGGGGGGUAGAAUUCCAGGUGUAGCGGUGAAAUGCGUAGAGAUCUGGAGGAAUACCGGUGGCGAAGGCGGCCCCCUGGACAAAGACUGACGCUCAGGUGCGAAAGCGUGGGGAGCAAACAGGAUUAGAUACCCUGGUAGUCCACGCCGUAAACGAUGUCUACUUGGAGGUUGUGCCCUUGAGGCGUGGCUUCCGGAGCUAACGCGUUAAGUAGACCGCCUGGGGAGUACGGCCGCAAGGUUAAAACUCAAAUGAAUUGACGGGGGCCCGCACAAGCGGUGGAGCAUGUGGUUUAAUUCGAUGCAACGCGAAGAACCUUACCUGGUCUUGACAUCCACGGAAGUUUUCAGAGAUGAGAAUGUGCCUUCGGGAACCGUGAGACAGGUGCUGCAUGGCUGUCGUCAGCUCGUGUUGUGAAAUGUUGGGUUAAGUCCCGCAACGAGCGCAACCCUUAUCCUUUGUUGCCAGCGGUCCGGCCGGGAACUCAAAGGAGACUGCCAGUGAUAAACUGGAGGAAGGUGGGGAUGACGUCAAGUCAUCAUGGCCCUUACGACCAGGGCUACACACGUGCUACAAUGGCGCAUACAAAGAGAAGCGACCUCGCGAGAGCAAGCGGACCUCAUAAAGUGCGUCGUAGUCCGGAUUGGAGUCUGCAACUCGACUCCAUGAAGUCGGAAUCGCUAGUAAUCGUGGAUCAGAAUGCCACGGUGAAUACGUUCCCGGGCCUUGUACACACCGCCCGUCACACCAUGGGAGUGGGUUGCAAAAGAAGUAGGUAGCUUAACCUUCGGGAGGGCGCUUACCACUUUGUGAUUCAUGACUGGGGUGAAGUCGUAACAAGGUAACCGUAGGGGAACCUGCGGUUGGAUCACCUCCUUACCUUAAAGAAGC